This is a long non-coding RNA of Vespa mandarinia (Asian giant hornet), 673 nucleotides long. RefSeq lists it as uncharacterized. Lineage: Eukaryota; Metazoa; Arthropoda; Insecta; Hymenoptera; Vespidae. The record is from RefSeq and is a predicted model, not a curated record.
CGAUAUUAAUUAUUGAUUUCUAUUCAUUAAUUUAUCGAUUCUUAAUAAAUUUAUUUCAUAAGGAAUAUCUACACUUACACAUACAUAGCGUUAUUAUAUAUACACUGUAUACAGAUCCAUGCAGAAAUGUAUAAGACGUACAUAACCUCUACAUUAAUUAUUUAUGUUAAGCGUCGAUCAAAAAUUUCUUUGACUCACGGUCCAUUAUAAUUUGUUAUUAUUACUUUUUUUUUAAUUCGAAAAUGUGCGAAAUUGAAAUUAUACUGUAAAAAUAUAUUUUGAGGUAUAUAAAUAUUGGAUUUAAUAUAACAAAAAAGUGUGAUGCUUGUUCUUCGUGGAAUUCAAAAUACAAAUUCCUUUAUUUUACUGGGUGGCCUUCUUCUAUGUCUUGUGUUAACAAUUCAAAUCAAACAAAUUUAUAUCAAUAAUCAAAAAUAUAAUCGUUAUUUAGGAUACGAACAAUAUAUCAAUGAAAUAUCCAAAGAAUUGAAGAUGGUUGAAAAGACUGCCAAUAAAUCGUCGAUAUAUGUACAUCAUUUAAAUGAGAUACUUUUUAAACAUCGUGAAAAAGAUAUGAAAAAUGCUUCGCUAUCACGAAUAGCAAAAUUAAUACGAGGAGAAACAAGCUGAAAUAAAUCAAAGAGAUGUAACAAGAUAUUUUUUAAAUAUUUUU